RNAcentral lists this ribosomal RNA (497 nucleotides) under uncultured bacterium. RNAcentral's name for it is "partial 16S ribosomal RNA". It matches the Rfam family "Bacterial small subunit ribosomal RNA", at positions 28 to 507 of the family's 1533-position model. The record is from RNAcentral.
GAUGAACGCUGGCGGCGUGCCUAAUACAUGCAAGUCGAGCGAACAGACGAGGAGCUUGCUCCUCUGACGUUAGCGGCGGACGGGUGAGUAACACGUGGAUAACCUACCUAUAAGACUGGGAUAACUUCGGGAAACCGGAGCUAAUACCGGAUAACAUGUUGAACCGCAUGGUUCAACAGUGAAAGACGGUCUUGCUGUCACUUAUAGAUGGAUCCGCGCCGCAUUAGCUAGUUGGUAAGGUAACGGCUUACCAAGGCAACGAUGCGUAGCCGACCUGAGAGGGUGAUCGGCCACACUGGAACUGAGACACGGUCCAGACUCCUACGGGAGGCAGCAGUAGGGAAUCUUCCGCAAUGGGCGAAAUCCUGACGGAGCAACGCCGCGUGAGCGAAGAAGGUCUUCGGAUCGUAAAACUCUGUUAUUAGGGAAGAACAAAUGUGUAAGUAACUAUGCACGUCUUGACGGUACCUAAUCAGAAAGCCACGGCUAACUACGUG